Callorhinus ursinus (northern fur seal) is the source of this 1407-nucleotide non-coding RNA. NCBI's taxonomy places the organism in Eukaryota, Metazoa, Chordata, Mammalia, Carnivora, Otariidae. The record is from RefSeq and is a predicted model, not a curated record.
UUAUCUUUGAUGACUGAAUAUCUGAAUAGUGAAUGCAAAUGAAGCUGUCAGUGGUGUCCGAGAAAUGAGGGCUCCUAAACACUUUCUUCCUGAGAUGUUAAGCAAAGUAAUUAUCCUGUCACUAGAUAGAAGUGAUGAAGAUAAAGAAAAAGCAAGUUCUUUGAUCAGUUUGCUCAGACAGGAGGGGAUAGCCACGAGUGACAACUUUAUGCAGGCUUUCCUGAAUGUAUUGGACCAGUGCCCCAAACUGGAGGUUGACAUCCCCUUGGUGAAAUCCUAUUUAGCACAGUUUGCAGCUCGUGCCAUCAUUUCAGAGCUGGUGAGCAUUUCAGAACUAGCUCAACCACUGGAAAGUGGCACCCAUUUUCCUCUCUUCUUACUUUGUCUUCAGCAAUUAGCUAAAUUACAAGAUCGAGAAUGGUUAACAGAACUUUUUCAACAAAGCAAGGUCAAUAUGCAGAAAAUGCUCCCAGAAAUUGAUCAGAAUAAGAACCGCAUGUUGGAGAUAUUGGAAGGAAAGGGACUGAGCUUCUUAUUCCCACUUCUCAAAUUGGAGAAGGAACUGUUGAAGCAAAUAAAGUUGGAUCCAUCCCCUCAAACCAUAUAUAAAUGGAUUAAAGAUAACAUCUCCCCCAAAUUUCAUGUAGAUAAAGGAUUUGUGAACAUCUUAAUGACUAGUUUCUUACAGUAUAUUUCUAGUGAAGUAAACCCACCCAGUGAUGAGACAGAUUCUUCCUCUGCUCCUUCCAAAGAACAGUUAGAGCAGGAAAAACAACUGCUGCUUUCUUUCAAGCCAGUAAUGCAGAAAUUCCUUCAUGAUCAUGUUGAUCUGCAAGUCAGUGCCCUGUAUGCUCUGCAGGUGCACUGCUACCACAGCAACUUCCCCAAAGGCAUGUUACUCCGCUUUUUUGUUCACUUUUAUGACAUGGAAAUUAUUGAAGAAGAAGCUUUCUUGGCUUGGAAAGAAGAUAUAACCCAAGAGUUUCCUGGGAAAGUCAAGGCUUUGUUCCAGGUGAAUCAGUGGCUAACCUGGCUAGAAACUGCUGAAGAGGAGGAGUCCGAGGAAGAAGCUGACUAAAGAACCAGCCAAAGCCUUAAAUUGUGCAAAACAUACUGUUGCUAUGACAUAACUGCAUCUGACCUAACCACUGCGAAAAUUCAUUCCGCUGUAAUGUUUUCACAAUAUUUAAAGCAGAAGCACGUCAAUUAGGAUUUCCUUCUGCAUAAGGUUUUUUUGUAGUGUAAUGUCUUAAUCAUAGUCUACCAUCAAAUAUUUUAGGAGUAUCUUUAAUGUUUAGAUAGUAUAUUAGCAGCAUGCAAUAAUUACAUCCUAAGUUCUCAAGCAGAGGCAGUCUAUUGCAAGGACCUUCUUUGCUGCCAGUUAUCAUAGGCUGUUUUAAGUUAGAA